This 21-nucleotide microRNA is filed under the name Branchiostoma belcheri (Belcher's lancelet). RNAcentral's name for it is "bbe-let-7a-3p". Its record names the gene bbe-let-7a-3p. The record is from miRBase by way of RNAcentral. Lineage: Eukaryota; Metazoa; Chordata; Leptocardii; Amphioxiformes; Branchiostomatidae.
GACUGUACAACCCGUUACCUU